UACGUAGGAGACGAGCGUUGUCCGGAGUUACUGGGCGUAAAGGGUGCGCAGGUGGCGGCGCGCGUGGGGGGUGAAAUCGCCCGGCUUAACUGGGCGGGGGCCUUCCAGACGGCGUGGCUUGAGCAGCGGAGGGGGACGUGGAAUUCCGGUGGAGCGGUGAAAUGCGUAGAGAUCGGAAAGAACACCAACGGCGAAAGCACUCUGCUGGGCCGACACUGACACUGAGAGACGAAAGCUAGGGGAGCGAAUGGG
This 252-nucleotide ribosomal RNA is filed under the name uncultured bacterium. RNAcentral describes it as "partial 16S ribosomal RNA". It matches the Rfam family "Bacterial small subunit ribosomal RNA", at positions 524 to 776 of the family's 1533-position model. The record is from RNAcentral.